CCCACCAUCACAGAAUCAUGGAACAGUUGAAAUUGGAAGAAACCUCCAGAGACCACUGACUCCAACCCGACUGCUAAAGCAGGUUCCCUCCAACAAAUUGCACAAGGGAGCCCGGAGCAUAACUCCAAGGUUGCAAGAAAAAAUGGGAUUCAGCUACUUUGAUUCUUUUGUAUCAAUGUUUCUCUGCAUCAGUUUUCUUCUUUGUCUGGGAUAUGAACUUCUCAGUGGAGAGAAGAAAGCACUGGGAUUGUAUCGAUUAUUUCACAGUCAGGUAAUUGCAGGAAAAUAUCUACCUCUAUGAAGCAGGCCAAAUGCACAUCCCUGCAGUCAGUCUAGUUUCCUAAAGGCAAGACCUAUUUUAUCCUAAUGACUUUAGCAAGUCUAUUUUUAUUGGAGAACUGGAAAAUGUUCUUUCCUCUCAACUAGCGGAACGAAAUAACUCUUUCUGAUGUCUGUAAUUCAAGCUGCUCUCAUCACCAAUCCAUUUAGAAAAGGAAUCCUGCAUCUGCGAUUGUGGAUUAAAUUCUUUUGUCUGUGUGCUGGCUUUGAGGGAGACUAGCACUCCCAAAUCAUUGAAGUGCUUCUACAAACGCUGUGCAGAACACACAGCUCUGAGGAGAGAGCCUGUGCUCCUGAACAGCUGUGUUUGCUGUUCUGAGUCCAUUAGUGAGAAGUGUGAUGUUUCACAGCAGUUGCUACACAGUGAAUAUGGAUUAUUGACAGAAACGUUACUGUAUUUGAUAUAUUGAAGAUCUUUUUGCUUAGAAGAUGUGAGUGACUUUGAGAAUGGUAUUUUACUAACAGUAGUGUAUGUUUCAGUGCUGGCUUGACCACGUGUAUCAAGUGUACUUGUAUACAUGGGCUUCUGUCCCCAGAUUCCCUGUAUAAUAAAUCGUC
Molecule: long non-coding RNA, 897 nt
Organism: Lagopus muta (rock ptarmigan)
Lineage: Eukaryota; Metazoa; Chordata; Aves; Galliformes; Phasianidae
Exons: 4
Source: RefSeq, a predicted model, not a curated record